CCUACGGGAGGCAGCAGUGAGGAAUAUUGGUCAAUGGAGGAAACUCUGAACCAGCCAUGCCGCGUGAAGGAUGACGGCCCUAUGGGUUGUAAACUUCUUUUAUAUGGGAAGAAACUUAUCUACGUGUAGAUAACUGACGGUACCAUACGAAUAAGGAUCGGCUAACUCCGUGCCAGCAGCCGCGGUAAUAA
Molecule: ribosomal RNA, 191 nt
Filed under: uncultured marine bacterium STak1
Lineage: Bacteria
Also listed under: 1 other name
Description: partial 16S rRNA
Rfam family: Bacterial small subunit ribosomal RNA
Source: RNAcentral